CGCCCCCGCCCGACGGGGUGCAGCAGGCGCGAAAACUUGGCAAUGCGAGAAAUCGUGACCAGGGAACUCCAAGUGGNUGGGGUAAGACCCANUCUUUUCUUGACUCUUCAACGGUCUUGGAAUAAGGGGUGGGUAAGGACGGUGCCAGCCGCCGCGGUAAUACCGGCGCCUCAAGUGGUAGUCGAUUUUAUUGGGCCUAAAACGUCCGUAGCCUGUUUGGUACAUUCGUGGGUAAAUCAACCAGCUCAACUGGUUGAAUUCUGCGAGCACGGCCAGACUUGGGACCGGGAGAGGUGUGGGGUACGCUCAGGGUAGGGGUAAAAUCCUGUCAUCCUGAGCGGACCACCUGUUGCGAAGGCGCCACACUAGAACGGAUCCGACGGUCAGGGACGAAGCCUAGGGGCACGAACCGGAUUAGAUACCCGGGUAGUCCUAGGUGUAAACGCUGUGGACUUGGUGUUGGGGACUCUCCGAGAUUCCUCAGUGCCGAAGCGAAGGUGAUNGNU
Molecule: ribosomal RNA, 506 nt
Filed under: uncultured archaeon
Lineage: Archaea
Description: bacterial SSU rRNA
Rfam family: Archaeal small subunit ribosomal RNA
Source: RNAcentral